RNAcentral lists this ribosomal RNA (120 nucleotides) under Helianthus annuus (common sunflower). The record is from RNAcentral. Lineage: Eukaryota; Viridiplantae; Streptophyta; Magnoliopsida; Asterales; Asteraceae.
GGUUGCGAUCAUACCAGCACUAAUGCACCGGAUCCCAUCAGAACUGCGCAGUUAAGCGUGCUUGGGUGAGAGUAGUACUAGGAUGGGUGACCCCCUCGGAAGUCCUCGUGUUGCAACCCC